GUCUACAUGGAAAGGUUAAGGCAGGGUGCUAGGCAACCACGGGGUCAGGCGUGCUGAGAUGAAGAACUCAGGAGAGCGGGCAGAGACUUGGAGCAGGUUACCAGGACAGGAACGAGACCAGAAACCAGGAAAUCAGUCUGAGGAACAAUGCUGGAGAGUCGGGCAAGAGUGGGCAGGUGCAUCACGUUGAGCUGACGAGCUGAGGGAAGACCCGGUGUCAGCUGACUGUGACAGGAAGCCUGGAAGGAAACAGGUCAAAACAACAAACUCCAUUAUUUGUAAUUAACUCAAUGUCCUUUAUGUUGAAUUUAAUAAGCCUAAAUGUUCUCCAUGUGCCGUGUCUCCUCCAACUGGAGAAAUGGAGAAGUUCUGGAGGUGAACCAAGAACCUGUUGGCAGGAGAAACUCCAGGCUGAGUCCUCUGAGGAACCUUACGUGAGACAGAGGGAAAUUAAAGGUGUUUCGGGAGAGAUGGGCCCAACGGAGAGGAAAACCAUCAACAAAACCUCUGGUAGCGGUUUUGCUUGAGAAGGAAAACCAGAACACCUGAGGGGGAUUAGCACCUCUUCCCGGCAUAACCUGCAAGUGUUUUUAAAACUCUCACGCCUGCGGAAGUAAAUCCGGAGAUUUCUUCACCUUAAAUCUGACUUUAUUCUUGCUUUAUUCUGAAGUCUUUGGUGAAAAUCUUUUAUUUUUCUGAGAGACUUGAGCUCCGGGCCUCAGCCAUCCCUACCUUGGAAUUCCACCUUGCUGCUACAGAUCACGCUUGCAGGCCAUUGACCUUUCGCUUGACCCGGGUCAUCUGAGGAUCAGACCUCAUCCAAGAGAUAAGCCAUGCCACGGCCUUCAUCAGCACCACUGUUAGAAUUGGACCUAUUCCUCUUCCUUCAGGCAGGAUCUUUAGAAGCCAUCUGAGGAUGAGAAAGAAGAGCUGCGGCGAUGCGUUCGGGUGCAGCUCCGGCUCGGCGUACACCUCUCCGCAUCUCCAUUCUCUGGACAGUUCCAUUGGUGCUCCUGUGCCUCCGACCCUCAGGAUAACGAAUACCCUCCGCAAUGCCAAAUCCAACACCUCAUUAUAUUUCUUGUCUUCUUUACACAUUGUUGGAUCUUUAAAACAGCCUUUAUCCACGAUUCUAUACCCUGUGUGCACCUAUAGAAGACUCAGGUCUAAUGAAGCUCUUUGGUUCUCUGAAAGCUACUUAUCCUGCAGCAAAUUAGCCUCCGGUCUGAUGCCCGAAUGA
This 1240-nucleotide long non-coding RNA is filed under the name Takifugu rubripes (torafugu). RNAcentral's name for it is "lncRNA (ENSTRUG00000030556.1)". The record is from RNAcentral. Lineage: Eukaryota; Metazoa; Chordata; Actinopteri; Tetraodontiformes; Tetraodontidae.